AGAGACAGCAGUAGCCGCGGGAAUACAGAGGGUGCAAGCGUUAAUCGGAAUUACUGGGCGUAAAGCGCGCGUAGGUGGUUUGUUAAGUUGGAUGUGAAAUCCCCGGGCUCAACCUGGGAACUGCAUCCAAAACUGGCAAGCUAGAGUAUGGUAGAGGGUGGUGGAAUUUCCUGUGUAGCGGUGAAAUGCGUAGAUAUAGGAAGGAACACCAGUGGCGAAGGCGACCACCUGGACUGAUACUGACACUGAGGUGCGAAAGCGUGGGGAGCAAACAGGAUUAGAUACCCGUGUAGUCCCUGUCUCUUAUAC
RNAcentral lists this ribosomal RNA (309 nucleotides) under uncultured bacterium. Its description in RNAcentral is "partial 16S ribosomal RNA". It matches the Rfam family "Bacterial small subunit ribosomal RNA", at positions 504 to 807 of the family's 1533-position model. The record is from RNAcentral.